GUGCACAUAACUCAGUUGGUAGAGUAACCGACUUUUAAUCGGUAUGCCCUAGGUUCAAUUCCUAGUGUGCACA
Molecule: transfer RNA, 73 nt
Filed under: Caudoviricetes sp.
Lineage: Duplodnaviria; Heunggongvirae; Uroviricota; Caudoviricetes
Description: tRNA-Lys
Rfam family: tRNA
About the family: Transfer RNA (tRNA) molecules are approximately 80 nucleotides in length.
Source: RNAcentral